AAAGCUCUAGCCUGCUGCUUCUGAUGCUGCUCCCUCUGCAGAAGAGCAUCCUGAAAAACAUGACCUUCCUAUCACCAGGACACACUCAUCUCAACCUCCAUGUGUCAGUUGUUUUAGUCACUCUGCCCUACUUGUUUUUUUUGUGCGAGGUAAGUGUGUUCACUGUUCUAUGUGCUCUCAGUUGUUUUGAUUUAAUUUCCAGACACUUCCACCCAACUGUGUGAUUAGUCUGGUGGGCCAAUGCGUCAAACUGUGGUCAUAGGGAGCUGGGGUGCAGAUGGUGGAGUUGUUUGGGGUAGAGAGGACAGUGGACUCAGUGGAGGAUAUCCCAGCCACUUGGCAGUGUUGGCACUGCUACUUCCCACAUGACGGGAGGAGUUGAAGGUGGAGCAUUCCUCGAACCUGCGACGCACCCGGUGAUCUAUGGUAUGAUGGCUGACUUUGCAGUUCCUGUUACUUCAAAAACGGAGCGACGCCUUCAUGUUCACCCACGAAGACAUAUCUCCCUUCGCCUCCCGCCGACCCCCGAGGGGCACCUUCAACACCUCCUCACCUUGACGACACACACUGUGGCUGAAUCUCAAUAGUCUAGAUAAUAGCUUCCUCUGUCACUUUAGUGAGGACAAUACUGUUCUGGUUACACUAGUAUGUACAGAGGCCCUUGAUCUUUAAAUAUGAACGCUUUUAUGGAGGUUUUGUCUUUUAUUUUGUGACACUGUUUUUACGGUCUUUUUGUUUGUAUUGGCUGCACUAAAAUUUCAAUCAACUCUGUUGAUAUGGCGAUUGCAACAGUUGUCAGUUGGUGUGACUAAAAUACAAUUUCAUGUCUUGUAUAUUUUCCAUGCAUUUUCUUUUAAGAACUUUAUCCUCGAGUGUUAUAAUUUCAGUAACAGCUACUUUGCUUUGGCUCUUAUCACUCCAUAAAUUCACUCCAUAAAUUUGUAUGUUAAGGCAGAACCGUG
This is a long non-coding RNA of Oncorhynchus nerka (sockeye salmon), 962 nucleotides long. RefSeq lists it as uncharacterized. Lineage: Eukaryota; Metazoa; Chordata; Actinopteri; Salmoniformes; Salmonidae. The transcript has 2 exons. The record is from RefSeq and is a predicted model, not a curated record.